RNAcentral lists this long non-coding RNA (372 nucleotides) under Malus domestica (apple). Its description in RNAcentral is "long non-coding RNA (MDOM_LNC021227)". The record is from RNAcentral. Lineage: Eukaryota; Viridiplantae; Streptophyta; Magnoliopsida; Rosales; Rosaceae.
AACAUACACAAAUUAGUUUUUAUACGAACGGAUAAGUAAAUUGAAUUCACAAUUCAAGAAACGCAAUUGGAAGUAAUCAAAUCAUAUAGCAAGCAUAAACAUGGUUUUGAAUCCCCCCCUAGCCAAGGGGGGUUUAGUUCCUCAUUAUUACAAAACAAAGAUAAACAAAUUUAACCAUUGAAAAACAAAGGGAAGAAAGCACCUAAACGUUCCAACGAUCCAUGUUGGAUAGCAAGCGCGUCCAAGGACUUUUCUCCUUCUCUUUGCCGCCACAACAAGGUUGGAAUGAUGUUGAAGGGUUGGUUAUUUUGAGGAAUGGAUGGGAAGGGGUUUAGAUAUGUAGGAGAGGCAAGGAAAGGCUUGGAGAAUGGU